RNAcentral lists this unclassified non-coding RNA (400 nucleotides) under uncultured bacterium. RNAcentral describes it as "contains 16S-23S intergenic spacer region". The record is from RNAcentral. RNAcentral also lists the same sequence under 1 other name.
AAUCCGAGAAUUUCACCUCUAACGCGGCCAUACGUACGGCUCCGAUGGUCCCCAUCGAUCAUUACCCGGCCGCCAAGAAAGCCAACGAAAUAGCGGCCGGGUCCUUUUCCAUUAUUCCAUGCACCACUGUUCAGGCUGCGUAUAGCACCUAUACGCCUGCUUUGAGCACUCCAAUUUUUUCAAAGUAAACAUGCCGCAAGCACGCCACUCGCACCUAAGCGAAUCACGCACCACACGACAGUUGGUGCCGGCGACCGCCACAAGCCGGCCACAUCUGCGCGACCGAACAUGCGGCAGCGCGCGACCCGAAGGCCGCUUACAGCUACCUCUCGCACCGCUUAACGGCACGGGGAGCCCGCCGGCCACCCAAAUUCGACUACGAGCGUUUUAACCGCAGCAG